GCUCAGGAUGAACGCUAGCUACAGGCUUAACACAUGCAAGUCGAGGGGCAUCGGGAAAUAAGCUUGCUUAUUUUGCCGGCGACCGGCGCACGGGUGAGUAACACGUAUCCAACCUGGCCAUCACAAAGGGAUAGCCUUUCGAAAGAAAGAUUAAUACCUUAUAUAAUGGAUUUACCUCCUGGUAUUUUCAUGAAAGAUUAAUCGGUGAUGGAUGGGGAUGCGUUCCAUUAGAUAGUAGGCGGGGUAACGGCCCACCUAGUCUUCGAUGGAUAGGGGUUCUGAGAGGAAGGUCCCCCACAUUGGAACUGAGACACGGUCCAAACUCCUACGGGAGGCAGCAGUGAGGAAUAUUGGUCAAUGGGCGAGAGCCUGAACCAGCCAAGUAGCGUGAAGGAUGACGG
This 401-nucleotide ribosomal RNA is filed under the name uncultured Bacteroidales bacterium. RNAcentral describes it as "bacterial SSU rRNA". It matches the Rfam family "Bacterial small subunit ribosomal RNA", at positions 22 to 414 of the family's 1533-position model. The record is from RNAcentral. Lineage: Bacteria; Pseudomonadati; Bacteroidota; Bacteroidia; Bacteroidales.